CAGUCGCCGCGGUAAUACGUAGGGUGCAAGCGUUAAUCGGAAUUACUGGGCGUAAAGCGAGCGCAGACGGUUACUUAAGCAGGAUGUGAAAUCCCCGGGCUCAACCUGGGAACUGCGUUCUGAACUGGGUAGCUAGAGUAUGUCAGAGGGAGGUAGAAUUCCACAUGUAGCGGUGGAAUGCGUAGAGAUGUGGAGGAAUACCGAUGGCGAAGGCAGCCUCCUGGGAUAACACUGACGUUGAGGCUCGAAAGCGUGGGGAGCAAACAGGAUUAGAUACCCCUGUAGUCCCUGUCUCUUAUAC
Molecule: ribosomal RNA, 301 nt
Filed under: uncultured bacterium
Lineage: Bacteria
Description: partial 16S ribosomal RNA
Rfam family: Bacterial small subunit ribosomal RNA
Source: RNAcentral